GCAGAAAGUAGCUAAUAUCAGUGUAUUAAGACUGUAGAAGUCUUUUAGCUGUUUGUAGUAAACUGUAUUUUAGAUAUAUUUUAUUAUAAGGCGUUAAUGUAGAUUCAUAGGCUCUGUAUGAACAGUAUUUUGUGUGUUACAGAUGAUUAAUCUCUCAGGAAGGUUUGGAGGACACCUGAGGAAAACAUGGCCAGUGAUAUCGAAGAUGACAUUCUUGACGAUGACUCUCUGACAGCCCAGAAUGACACUUGGGAUGAAGAGCUGAACGAUGACCUUUUGUGUAGCGACGAGGAUGAUCCAACCAGCAGUGGUGUGAGCUCACAUCUGGAACAUGGGGCCAAGGCUGAGGCCGUACAUCUGGCUGAGGAAGCGAGAGAGCAGCCGGCAGAUGACGAAGAUGUUUUCGACGUCCAAAUCAAUGAACCUCUAGGUGAUGCAUUUCAAGAUCCGUCCGGACAGCAGGAGGAUGGUGAACGCCGUAAAACUGAGACAGCAGACACCGUGAUACGCUUGUACACCAGUGACGUCAGCAGGAAUGCUGUAGAAGCUUGGAUGCGCAGCAGAGCCGAGUGACGGAGAAGGAGGUUCCUGCAGGAGAGGAACGUGGACGUAACUUCUGUACGC
Molecule: long non-coding RNA, 624 nt
Organism: Ictalurus punctatus (channel catfish)
Lineage: Eukaryota; Metazoa; Chordata; Actinopteri; Siluriformes; Ictaluridae
Source: Ensembl